AUGGCCGCCGCCGGAUCGGCCGUCUUCCCCGCGCAGCGGCUCCAGGUAAGCAGCCGCCGGAGCGCGGCGUGCUUCUCGAGGCAGCAGAGCUUCCCGUCCAUCUCGAUCCGGUCGGCUCCCACCAAGAAGCGCUUCCUCCACCUGGCUUGCUCGGCCAAGCAGGACACCAUCGACAAGGUCUGCGGGAUCGUCAAGAAGCAGCUGGCCGUCGCCGAGGGCACCGUCGUCAGCGGAGAGACCAAGUUCGCCGACCUCGGGGCCGAUUCGCUCGACACGGUUGAGAUCGUGAUGGGUCUGGAGGAGGCAUUCAGCAUCACGGUGGACGAAUCGAGCGCCCAGGAGAUCAGGACCGUGGAGGACGCCGCGUCUCUCAUCGACAAGCUCGUGACAGACAAGGAUUCUUAG
RNAcentral lists this ribosomal RNA (405 nucleotides) under Triticum aestivum (bread wheat). RNAcentral describes it as "partial small subunit ribosomal RNA". The record is from RNAcentral. Lineage: Eukaryota; Viridiplantae; Streptophyta; Magnoliopsida; Poales; Poaceae.